UAUAUCUAAUGUAUCAGUAAAAUAUAUGACAACAGUAUUAUAAAAGCUAGCAUUAGAGACAUGGAAGUAUACUAUUGUAAGAUAUAUCCUAUAAGUGUAAGUAUUCUAUAAGUGAUGUGGUAUAAUUCAAAUGAAGAUAGACUCUAAUAAAUUAAAGAUAUAUACUUAAAUCUGGUUGAGAGCAGCAAUAAUCCAGAAUGGCUACUCUGAUCUAUGUUGAUAAGGAAAAUGGAGAACCAGGUACCCUUGUGGCUGCAAAGGAUGGGCUGAAGCUGGGGUCUGGACCUUCAACCACAGCCUUAGAUGGGAGAUCUUAAGUUUCAACACCACGUUUCGGCAAAACAUUCAAUGUUCUACCAGCCUUACCUAAAGCUACCAGGAAGGCUUUGGGAACUGUCAACAGAGCUACAGAAAAGUCAGUAAAGACCAAUGGACCCCUCAAACAAAAACAGCCAAUCUUUUAUGCCAAAAAGAUGACUGAGAAGACUGUUAAAGCAAAAAGCUCUGUUCCUGCCUCAGAUGAUGCCUAUCCAGAAAUAGAAAAAUUAUUCCCCUUCAGUUCUCUAGGCUUUGAGAGUUUUGACCUGCCUGAAGAGCACCAGAUUCCACAUCUCCCCUUGAGUGGAGUGCCUCUCAUGAUCCUUGAUGAGGAGAGAGAGCUUGAAAAGCUGUUUCAGCUAGACCCCCCUUCACCUGUGAAGAUGCCCUCUCCACCAUGGGAAUCCAAUCUGUUGCAGUCUCCUUCAAGCAUUCUGUUGACUCUGGAUGUUGAAUUGCCACCUGUUUGUUCUGACAUAGAUAUUUUAAAUUUCUUAGUGCUUUAGAGUUUGUGGGUAUUUGUAUUAAUAAAGCAUUAUUUGUUUAACAGAAAAAAAAA
RNA transcript from Cercocebus atys (sooty mangabey), 877 nucleotides. It is a transcript of the gene named securin pseudogene, with no coding region annotated. The record is from RefSeq and is a predicted model, not a curated record. The transcript has a single exon. NCBI's taxonomy places the organism in Eukaryota, Metazoa, Chordata, Mammalia, Primates, Cercopithecidae.